GUGGGGAAUAUUGCGCAAUGGGGGAAACCCUGACGCAGCAACGCCGCGUGAGUGAUGAAGGCUUUCGAGUCGUAAAACUCUGUCUUUGGGGACGAAUAAUGACGGUACCCAAGGAGGAAGCCCCGGCUAACUACGUGCCAGCAGCCGCGGUAAUACGUAGGGGGCAAGCGUUGUCCGGAAUCACUGGGCGUAAAGAGCGCGUAGGCGGUUUGUUAAGUCAGGUGUGAAAGUUUUCAGCUUAACUGGAAAAGUGCACUUGAAACUAACUUACUUGAGUACUGGAGAGGUAAGCGGAAUUCCUAGUGUAGCGGUGAAAUGCGUAGAUAUUAGGAAGAACACCGGUGGCGAAGGCGGCUUACUGGACAGAGACUGACGCUGAGGCGCGAAAGCGUGGGGAGCGAACAGGAUUAGAAACCCUUGUAGUCC
This 426-nucleotide ribosomal RNA is filed under the name uncultured bacterium. RNAcentral's name for it is "partial 16S ribosomal RNA". It matches the Rfam family "Bacterial small subunit ribosomal RNA", at positions 354 to 796 of the family's 1533-position model. The record is from RNAcentral.